This 154-nucleotide unclassified non-coding RNA is filed under the name Stemphylium lycopersici. RNAcentral describes it as "sequence contains ITS2". The record is from RNAcentral. Lineage: Eukaryota; Fungi; Ascomycota; Dothideomycetes; Pleosporales; Pleosporaceae.
GUACCUUCAAGCUCUGCUUGGUGUUGGGCGUCUUGUCUCUCACGAGACUCGCCUUAAAAUGAUUGGCAGCCGACCUACUGGUUUCGGAGCGCAGCACAAUUCUUGCACUUUGAAUCAGCCUUGGUUGAGCAUCCAUCAAGACCACAUUUUUAAC